RNAcentral lists this ribosomal RNA (460 nucleotides) under uncultured bacterium. Its description in RNAcentral is "partial 16S ribosomal RNA". It matches the Rfam family "Bacterial small subunit ribosomal RNA", at positions 338 to 795 of the family's 1533-position model. The record is from RNAcentral.
CCUACGGGAGGCAGCAGUGAGGAAUAUUGGUCAAUGGGCGCGAGCCUGAACCAGCCAAGUAGCGUGAAGGAUGACUGCCCUACGGGUUGUAAACUUCUUUUUUAAAGGAGAAAAGUUAGGCACGUGUGCCUUUUUGUAUGUAUUUUAUGAAUAAGGAUCGGCUAACUCCGGGCCAGUAGCCGCGGUAAUACGGAGGGUUCGAGCGUUAUCCGGAUUUAUUGGGUUUAAAGGGAGCGUAGAUGGGUUGUUAAGUCAGUUGUGAAAGUUUGCGGCUCAACCGUAAAAUUGCAAUUGAUACUGGCAGCCUUGAGUACAGUUGAGGUGGGCGGAAUUCGUGGUGUAGCGGUGAAAUGCUUAGAUAUCACGAAGAACUCCGAUUGCGAAGGCAGCCUACUAGACUGCCACUGACAUUGAUGCUCGAAAGUGUGGGUAUCAAACAGGAUUAGAUACCCGAGUAGUC